UUCGGAUUAAUGCAUAUCAAGUGAUUGUUUGAUAACCUAACCAGGAAGAAAUAUAGAUCCUAUGAUCUAAUAUAGUAUGGUCUAUUUUUCUGUUUUGCUUGGUAUGGUACCUUAUUCGGUUUAGCUUUCGGGUUAAUGCGUAUGAAGUGAUGAUAACCUAACCGGGGAGGAAGUAUAGAUCUGCGAACACUUAAAUUUUAGAUUGUUUCGUAAGAUUUUGUUAUCAUGAUAUCUUCUGCAGUUUUGCUUCAGUUCACUUUUGAUCCAAUGAGGGGUAUUUAAGCUAACAAAUUUCUCAUUUGUUCUGCUUAUGUUGAAAUAAUAUUGGUUAAAGAGUAUCCUUAUCGAGCCUACCAGUGGUAAUACCGGCAUUGGAUUGGCUUUCAUUGGAGCAGCUAGGGGUUAUAGAGUUAUUGUCACUAUGCCAGCUUCUGUGAGCAUUGAGAGGAGAAUCGUUCUUCGAGCUUUUGGAGCUGAAGUAUGCCUCACAAACCCAGCCAAGGGCUUUAAGGGGGCAUUAGACAAGGCUGACGAGAUACUGAAGAACACACCUAACGGUUACAUGCUACGGCAAUUCGCAAACCCUGCCAAUCCUCAGGUAGCAUCUUUACUGUUGUAACAUUUCUAUUGUUUCAUCAGGUGAUGUUUAAAAGAAGUAACGAAUUCUUUGUUUAAGAUUCAUUACGAAACCACCGGUCCAGAGAUAUGGAAAGACUCGGAAGGGAAAGUUGAUGUACUGGUUGCAGGCAUAGGGACUGGUGGUACAGUAACAGGUGCAGGGAGAUUCCUCAAAGAGAAAAACUCAGAGAUCAAGGUUUGUUCCCCAUUCGAGACCGAAAUUUAGACAAGGAGCCUAUGUCCUUGUUGUUAUAUUCAUAAGAGCAUAUUCUUCUUUUGUCAAAGUAUAGGUAUAUGGGGUAGAACCUGUUGAAAGUGCAGUCUUGAAUGGUGGAAAACCUGGUAAAUUUUCAAGUCACUUUCUUCCUUUUUUAUGUGGUUCGUGCAGUAUCUGGUACUUGACUAUUUCCUUCAUUGCAUUGCCUGUGUGAUGCAUGUCAAAGGCUCUCAUCUGAUCCAAGGAAUUGGUGCUGGUAUCAUCCCUGAUGUUUUGGAUGUUGGCCUCCUUGAUGAAGUUGUCCAGGUAAGUCUCAACAGCAUGUUCAAUAUUUCAAACAGCUCUUGGAAACUCUGCAAUUGGUUCGAUUUCUGAAAAAUUAAUGAACUUUCGUUUUUGUCACAAGGAUAGUACUUGUUUCCCUUCUAAUAAUCCGUUUUCCUUUGCCAUGGGAAGCACCAAUCGUCUGAUCCAUUGAUUAUCCUGUAUGAUGGCCAUGGUAGCUUCCUAGAAACAGUCCAAUGAAACUUUGCACAUCAAUCACCCGAUCCAUUGAUUCUCCUGUAUGAUGACCAUAGUAGUUCCUAGAAACAGUUCAAAGAAACGUCGCAAUCGCUUCAGUUUCUGAAAAAUUAAUGAUUUUUUCAUUUCUGUCAUGAUAGCAGUACCAUUGAUUCUCCUGUAUGUUGACCAUAGUACUUAUUGCUGUUCUAACUUCUUAGGUAUCUAGUGAAGAAGCCAUUCAAACUGCUAAACAGAUAGCCUUGAAAGAAGGUUUACUGGUAUGUUUGUAAUCGUUAAUCAAUUCUUACGACCCUCUAGAUCACUUGUUCUUCUUUUGUCCUUAUUCUCUUGAUCAUAUGAAUAAUAUUGACAGGUUGGUAUAUCAUCUGGUGCUAAUACAGCAGCUGCAAUUAAGUUGGCAAAGAGGCCAGAAAAUGCUGGCAAACUCAUAGUUGUGAGUUACAUUCCCUUCUUCAAGUUUAUCUAUAUCUUAUAGGCUAUAAUAAUUGUUGAUAUUUUUCGGAUUCUUCAUUUUUUUCUAUACUAUUGGUGAUAUAUACUUGAACAUAGGCAUGAAACAUAAGCAGGAGAUAUGACCCAAAAUGCUCAUGUUUUUUUAUUUGUUUAAUUGGUUACAUACGACUAACACUUGAGCUUCUCUGUUUUUAUAUCAGGUAAUUUUUCCCAGUGCGGGUGAGCGUUACCUGUCGUCUGCAAUGUUUGAGUCCCUAAGGCAUGAAGCAGAAAACAUGCCCAUUGAUUGAUGCCAUUGUUAUCCUCAAUCACAAAUUCCUUGUACUUAGCAUUCCACUAUGAACUAUGUCUACCUCUGCCUUUUUCUUUGUAUUUUGUGUUCUAUGUUAUUCGGGUUUAAGAUAAAUAUUAAAUACGGGUACGUGUAUGACAUGUAUAAGCUCAAUUUUUUUUUCGUUUUUCUUUAAUUUCCAUAUUUGAAUAUUUGGAAGGUUGUCAAAGAAUCAUAUUUUUAUACCAUAUUUGAAUAUAUGUGGAUAUCGAAACAUGAAUAUUUCUAGAAAAAUAAAAGAAAAUUUAAUAUGAUUUUUUCUAAUAUAAUAGAAAAAAUGUGGCAUAAAUUAAAAAAAAAUUAAAAAUUAAACAAGGUAAGGUGAUUUGUAGUUGCAGGGUUGCUCAGAGGGUUGAAAGACAUGGGCGGAAUGGGAUUGGUAGCGUUAAACGAUGUAGAAUUCUGUGUUGUGGGGGCAUUGAGGAAACUAGCGAAACGAGAAACAAAUGGAUCAGUAAAGGUUGGAACAAUAGGAAGCGAUUAUGAACUCUUUUUUAGCAGGUUUUGAUAAUAACCAAAAUAUGGAAAUCCGAGGAUAAGGAGAAUAAAAACUCAAAGAAGAAGCCUAUAAGGUGUCCGUUGAGGAGGAUGUUAACACUGCAAAGGUGAAUAACCUGGAGCAACUUCUCAUGACAUUUUCUGUUUGGCAGAAGGCAGACUUUUGCAUCCAUGGCAAGAAAAUAUAAAGGGAGAAAAUCAGAUGUUAUGUUAUUUCGAUUCUUUAAUUUUUUCCGAAGUAUUCACGUUUGAUAUAUUUGGAUAUCAGUAUGAUUGUAUUAGGAUAUAUAUAAUCCUAUGAAAAAUUUUAGGCUUGCUGGUUAUAUUAGGUAAGUUCAUACGGUAUAUUUGUGUUAAAAUUUUAUGUAUUUAAAAUUAUAGUUGUAAAUAUGUUUAAUUGAAAUUCUGAUCGUUUACACUUCGAUAUGAAGAGGUGAGGUAAGAGAUUAAAUUGAACAAAAUUGAAGAUAGUAUAAUUUAAUAAAUUAAGGAAUUGACUUUGAAUUGGAUUGAAAUAAUUUAUGUUAUGUGAUAAAGUGAUAAUUCGAUAAAAAUAAGUUAAAUUGAUUCGAUUUAAAUUGGUUGUAUGUGAAAAGAACUGAAUUGAACAGAUUAAAAAAAUAUAUCAAAUAUUAUUUGAAAUGUGGAAUUAUACAAAUGUGGUGAUGAGCUAUGAUAUAUGUAUGAAAUUCUUGAUUUGAUUGAUUGAUAGUAAAUUGAGUAAUGAAUACCCUAUUAAGUUCGGGCAGAGACAUAUAUAGUUGGCAUGUCAUAAGAUAGGAAGAGUUCAGGGUUACUUCGACGACGAGUCGAUGAGGCACUGGGUGCCAAUUUGCUUCGAUUUAACUGAUGAGACACUGGGUGUCAAACCUAUUUAUAGUGCUGGACGCAACUAUUUGCUUCAAGUUUAUCCGAUGAGGAACUGGGUGCCAAACUGAUGUGUUGGUUGGAUUGUGUAUUUGUUCGAGUCCGAGUCGUGUUAAUAGGGAGAUAAAAGAUAAAAAAAAAUGAUGAUAAUGAAUAAGCAUUUGAAAUCCAUGAAAUCAUAAAAUUGAAUGUGAAAUGUGGUAUUCGUUAUUGAGAUGGCAAAUGGAUAAGAAAUGGAAGAAAAAUGCGAAAUGAAAUGUUUAUUUGUGACAUGUGAUGAUAUGAUGAUCAGAUGAUACAUAUACAUAUUGAUAAUAGGUUAUAUAAGACCAGGGAGCUAAUAUGAAAACAUGAUAAAUUGAUGAAUGUGAUUCAAAAUUAGUAUUAUGAAAUAAAGUAGUGAUUGAUAUUUAAUUGACAUUCAAUAUAUAUUUGGUAUAAAGAUGGAUUUCUAUGUUUUGAAUUGAGAUUUCAAAUAAUGAAAUGAAAAUCAAUGUUUGGCAUUAAUUUGAAAUGAGAUAUAUUGUAGAUAAAUAGAUUGUAUGAAAAGUUAAGAUAGUGAAUUGAUUUAAAUGAUAAUUCUUCUGUGAAUAGUAAUGAAAUGUUGAAUAAGUGAAUUGAAUAUUAUAUGAUUGAGUUACUAUAUGGUUCGAUAAUUGUCGAACUCACCUUUUUUAUAUGUAAUUUGCCAUGAUAGACAAACUUUAUCAAGCUAAGUAGCAAGUAGUGUAUAAUUAAAACUUGAGGUAAGUUACUUGGUUUUAAUACAUGUGAACUUACUAAGCAAUUGUAAUGCUUACUCCCUUAUUUCCUUUUUCCCUGUAAUGUCAACUUGUGGAACGUGUUAGGUGGAUCGUCGAGAAGCUCACACUAUCCUGGUAUUGAUUCAGUAGUCUUUCUAUCGUUUAAAACUCAAUUCUGUGGCAUGUAUAUAGGUGAAUCAUUUUUGGUUAUUCUUGAAUGUUAAUAUUUUGGUUCUUGAUUGAGGUUUGUGUUUUAAAUGGUUAUAUGAUAUGUACAUAGGCUAUUUUGGAUUGAUGGUUUAAAGUUAUAAGUUGAAGUUGUAAUUUGUUAUAAUGGUUGCCAUGCAUAAGAAUGAAUUUAAUGAUUACCAUGGUAUGUAUGAAGAGUAAAUGAUGAUUGCAUGUCUGGUUGAUGGGUGUCGAAUCCACCAAUAUAAACCUACGCCUUAGUUUGCAAAUUAUGCAGUAUAGGGAGUAGGGUCGAUCCCUCAGAGACUGGUUUACUAUAAACUGUUGCUCGCUUGACCAGAUUUAUGUCGGGGCAGCUGUCGUGCCCAAGGCGUUCGGGGGGAUAAAAAUUUGAAAAUCUGAAAUUAACAGAAAAAUAACGUCAAAAGUAAAAGUUGAAAACAGAAUAAUAAAAACCGUGAAAUAAAUAUUAAGGAAAAUUAAUUAGAAUGAGCUCAGCUUUAGACACGAAUAGCUCAGCUUUAGACACGAAUUUUCCUCGUCUUUAAACCGAUCCUCGAAAUUGGACGAACUCCUCUUUUCCAAUAAGCUAGUUAUAGCUACCAAGGACGCCUCGGACACCAACUCUUCCUUGUGUAAAUUAGUUAUGGAACGUUCAAUAACUAAUUCUUACCGAUCGAACAACCACGAAACGUUCNNNNNNNNNNNNNNNNNNNNNNNNNNNNNNNNNNNNNNNNNNNNNNNNNNNNNNNNNNNNNNNNNNNNNNNNNNNNNNNNNNNNNNNNNNNNNNNNNNNNGUGGGACAUUUAAAUCCGGUUACUACUUCCCUUGACGGAACCAAACAACAAUCUCCACUUGGCACACCAAUGUGUUCACAGAAAACCAAUUAGAAACGUUCCUUUCGGAAUUCCAACUGUACGUCUAACCACACUAAAUCAAACGACGUCUUUUUUGACUUAGUGUUGAUCUGACUUUAUGAGUUGACAAAAUCAUACUCUUAAUCUGGAGAAGUAAUAAGUACUGAAAUUUUAGGAGUUAAAUGGCUCGGGUUCGUAACUCACGGAUUUUGACGAGGCUAAUUUCGGCCUAAAGCUGAAAAUGGAUUUAGUUGGCUAAGGUUUGGGACAUGUUGGUGUUUGAUAAAUUAAAUAAGGUAGAAAUGGUGAAAAGAUGGGUGAUGUGAUUAGUAUGGGGGUUGGAAUAUAUUAAAGUGGGGUGGUUGACUAUUUGGAAAAAAAUUGAAAAAGGAAUUGCAAAUGGCUUGAUUUGGUGAUUAGCUACUGGAAAUUAAAAAUUGAAGGAAAGGAAACUAAAGAAACAACAAUGCUAUGUGAGAAAAGAGAGAAUGUAUUGAAAGACAACAGCUAAAUGUUUUUUGAUUGAUGAAUUGAUGAACAAUACAUGCUCUAUUUAUACUAGAGGAUUUACUAAUUUAGGAGCCAACUAGUCUAGAAAAUCAAGGAAAAAUAAAAAUAAAAAUAUUCCAUGACAAAAAAUAUCCCAAAAUAAUCUCCCCCACAAAGUCAACAAAAUUUUCAGCUAAUUAAUAUUGGAAAAAUUCUACUUUGGCCCUCCUUCUUUGCUUCUUUCUUCAAUUUGCCCCAAUUGUUUCCUUUUUCUUCUAUUUAGCCCCAAAUUACAUUCCUGCACAAAAUUCAAUAAAUAUGACAAAAUUAGUGGUGCAUUCUCAUAAAUUAACCAAAUUAAUUACAUAAAAUAUAUAACUUUAGCAUUUAAUCACUGGUGUUGGUAUGCUUGAUUUUGGAUCAUGAAUUAGUUGAGAAAUGGUAAUCUUGGGUGAAAUGUAUGGUACAUGUAUAUUUGAUAGUUGUAGUAUAUGCAUUCAUUAAAUUAAAUUGUUUCAAUGAUAUGGUAAGUUUUGAGUAUGUACAAAAGGUAAAUUGUACUACGAUGAUACAUGCUUGUGUGUAUAAUUGAGUUUAAGUUUUGAAUUUGGUUGUGAUGGUGCCAAAUGACAUAAUAGUUAGUAUUAGAAUUAUGGUACCUAAUUGCAUACUUAGUUAUUAAUUAUAAUAGGUAAGAUAAUUCGUAGAUCAUGGUUGAAUCAUGACAUGUUUGUAAUGGAUUGAGUGAGUUUUAUGCACGUCAUAUGUGUACCUAUUUGUACCUAUGAAUUAAUAUAUAGGUUUGGGCAUGAAUUGAACUUUCAAACUUGAUAUUUUUGACUAUCUGGAUAAAAGUAUCGAUACCAGGGGCCAAUGUAUCGAUACUUAACCAAAUGAACAGUGUUUUCAAAUUACAGAAUGACAAAAUGGUAUCAAUAUCAAUUUUAGUAUAUCGAUACCUAUCACAAAAAUAUCGAUACUUAUUUUUUUGGUAUCGAUACUUAGUUCAAAGUUUUGAAAAAAAUUUACAGUUUGGUCAUUUUUCAUGCCCGAAUCUAAUCUAUUGUAUUUUAAAGCUCAAUUUAGUUCCGUUUUCACUUUUUUAAUAAUUAAUGUGUGUAUUUAUAUGAUAAUUCAAUAUUUUGAUUUACAUGUGAUUGUUUCGAAUUUAUUUGUAACAUUUCGUAGCUCGGGUCCGGCAAUCAAAUCGGUUAUGAGAUGUUACACCACUAUAACGUUUAAAUCGUUAUUUAUGCUAUCAAUAUACUCAUGUGUCAAAUGCGGAUAAUCAAGAAAAAUAAAAAGGAAAAUGUUUUCCACAUCAGUAGGCAAGUGCAUACACUGUUGACUAGAACCAUGGAAACACAAUACAUUAUUUUAAGAAUGUAACUAGAAAUACUAUUCUUUGUAACCUAGUGAACAGGGGCCACUUUAAUGAGUUAUCGGUGAAGUGGCCACUUUACAUGUUCUUAUAUGUUAUCUUCUUUUAUUUUUUUCUUGUUCAUCACUGAUAACUCAUUAACCAUGUAAAGUGGCCACUUCACUGAGAACAUGUUCAUCUUCUUUUAUUUUUGUCUUCUUGUUUAUUGUUGGAAUAUCCAAAGGCAUCCCCACCAACUAUUGAUUUGUUCUUUGAUUCUUGUACAUUCUUGGGUGUUUUCUAUUUCCUUUUUCUCAUUACAUGUUUGACUGAUUCUUCUGUUUCCACGGCUUGGGGAACAAGUAUUUCUUGCCUAUUCCUCUGUUAUCUAAGCUGGUUGAUGCCCUUUAUAAACAGUUCAGAAGCUUGCGUUUUGCAAUAAGAAAACCUUGUUUUCCUUUGUUGAAGUGCGGAAAUUCUGAGAAUCCUCCAUGGAGGACAAAUAUGCAAUCAAGAAAGAUGUUACUGAAGUAAUGUUUCUUUUCUCAAUCAUUUAAGUGUUGUUGAUAUUGCCAUUAGUCUUCUGCAACUUGUUUUGAUCUCAUCGUGGCUUAUGCAGUUAAUAGGUAACACGCCUAUGGUAUAUCUGAACAAUAUCGUCGAUGGUUGCGGAGCUCGAAUUGCUGCCAAGCUUGAGCUGAUGGAACCUUGCUCCAGUGUUAAAGACAGGCAUAAAUUUCAUUUACAUUUGAUUUUUACAUUCUUCACAGCAUCUUGCAAACUGUUACCUGCAGAAUAAUGCCUUUGUUCAUUGUUUAUCGAUCCCCAGGAUUGCAUACAGUAUGAUUAAAGAUGCAGAAGAUAAGGGCUUGAUUACGCCCGGGAAGGUAUGGUGCCGUAUUCGAAGAUGCUUUGCUCAGUUUAGCUUCCCAGUUAAUGCAUAUGAAGUGGUUGUUUGAUAACCUAACCAGGAUGAAAUAUAGACCCAAGAACAGUUAAAACUUCAGAUUGUUUUGGAAGACUAUCGUAAUAUCUUCUGCAGUUUUCAAUUGACUUUUGAUCAAAUGAGGGCUAUUUUCAACAUGGAAUGGUCCAGACACGGAACAUUUAAGCUAACAAAUUUCCCGUUUCUUCUGCAUAUAUUGAAAUAAUAUCGGCUAU
Molecule: long non-coding RNA, 8308 nt
Filed under: Gossypium raimondii (Peruvian cotton)
Lineage: Eukaryota; Viridiplantae; Streptophyta; Magnoliopsida; Malvales; Malvaceae
Description: long non-coding RNA (GRAI_LNC010934)
Source: RNAcentral